This 75-nucleotide transfer RNA is filed under the name Gracilibacteraceae bacterium. Its description in RNAcentral is "tRNA-Gly". It matches the Rfam family "tRNA". From Rfam's summary of the family: Transfer RNA (tRNA) molecules are approximately 80 nucleotides in length. Lineage: Bacteria; Bacillati; Bacillota; Clostridia; Eubacteriales; Gracilibacteraceae. The record is from RNAcentral.
GCGGGUGUAGCUCAGUGGUAGAGCACUGGCUUCCCAAGCCUGGUGUCGCGGGUUCGAGCCCCGUCACCCGCUCCA